This 253-nucleotide ribosomal RNA is filed under the name uncultured bacterium. Its description in RNAcentral is "partial 16S ribosomal RNA". It matches the Rfam family "Bacterial small subunit ribosomal RNA", at positions 524 to 776 of the family's 1533-position model. The record is from RNAcentral.
UACAGAGGUCUCAAGCGUUGUUCGGAAUCACUGGGCGUAAAGGGUGCGUAGGCGGCGGAGUAAGUCGGAUGUGAAAUUUGGAGGCUCAACCUCCAACUUGCAUCUGAUACUGCUUCGCUAGAGACCUGGAGAGGAGUUUGGAAUUCUCGGUGUAGCAGUGAAAUGCGUAGAUUUCGAGAAGAACGCUCGCAGCGAAAGCGAAACUCUGGACAGCGUCUGACGCUGAGGCACGAAGGCUAGGGGAGCAAACGGG